RNAcentral lists this ribosomal RNA (273 nucleotides) under uncultured bacterium. Its description in RNAcentral is "partial 16S ribosomal RNA". It matches the Rfam family "Bacterial small subunit ribosomal RNA", at positions 793 to 1055 of the family's 1533-position model. The record is from RNAcentral.
GUCCUAGCCGUAAACGUUGGAUACUAGGUGUGGGAGGUAUCGACCCCUUCCGUGCCGAAGUUAACACAUUAAGUAUCCCGCCUGGGGAGUACGGUCGCAAGACUGAAACUCAAAAGAAUUGACGGGGGCCCGCACAAGCGGUGGAGCAUGUGGUUCAAUUCGACGCAACGCGAAGAACCUUACCAGGGUUUGACAUGUAGGUAGUAGGAACCUGAAAAGGGGACGAUCCGGUAGUAAUAUCGGAAGCUUACACAGGUGCUGCAUGGCUGUCGU